GUGCGGAGCCCGGCUGUCUUGUGUGACAGGUGACCGUGGUGCAAGCGUGCAUGGAGGCAGGGAAGUGGCAGAGGGUGUGGAUAACAUGAGCUGUGCGCCCGGACGGAUGUUCGAUGAAGGCCUCAGCAAGCCAGUGGAGAUCACGGAAAGGACAGCCUGCUCACCCUCUAGAGGCUCUCUGCAGGUGUGUGGGGACACCGGGACCCGCGCAGGAUGCUGUGGCUUCAUGUUGGGCACCCCAGAGGCUCACGUGAGAAGGUGGGGUCCCCGGGUGGACUCCUAGGAGCUGUGGGUCAGUGGGGGCCUUGGGCAAGGGUUGGGGCCUCAGAGGGGAGGCGAGACCCGGCUCAGCCCUCUCCCUACUCCUGGCUCAGACAUUUCUCACCAGGGGUCCCCAGCAGCUCAGCUAUCUGGAGGUCAGAAGCAAACAGCCCUUUCUCUUUGGGAGUCAGGGUUUCAGGGGUUGGCUGUAGUAACGUGCAGCUGGCAAAUAUAAGGCUGCACUGGGGCCAGUGGGUGCCAGACCCAGGAGGAGAGAGCAGAUGGGAGAGCCACCCGGGUUGA
RNAcentral lists this long non-coding RNA (564 nucleotides) under Fukomys damarensis (Damara mole-rat). RNAcentral's name for it is "lncRNA (ENSFDAG00000031296.1)". The record is from RNAcentral. Lineage: Eukaryota; Metazoa; Chordata; Mammalia; Rodentia; Bathyergidae.